AGUCUGGUGCCAGCAGCCGCGGUAAUUCCAGCUCUCAAAAUGCAUAGAAUCAUUGCUGCGGUUAAAAAGCUCGUAGUUGGAUCUGUGCUGGCGGGUCGGUCCACCUUCGGGUGCGCACUGAUUUCGCCGGCUUUCCUGCUGUAUUUGGCCCUGUGCCUUUCAACGGGUGCAGUGUCCAGUGCAGCAAGUUUACCUUGAACAAAUCAGAGUGCUUCAAACAGGCGUUUCGCUUGAAUGUUCGUGCAUGGAAUAAUAGAAGAGGAUUUCGGUUCUAUUUUAUUGGUUUUAUAGACUGAGAUAAUGGUUAACAGAGACUAACGGGGGCAUUAGUAUUGCUACGUGAGAGGUGAAAUUCUUGGACCGUAGCAAGACUGACUACAGCGAAAGCAUUUGCCAAGAAAGUCUUCAUUAAUCAAGAACGAAAGUCAGAGGUUCGAAGGCGAUCAGAUACCGCCCUAGUUCUGACCGUAAACGAUGCCAACUAGUGAUCCGCCGGUGGAACAUUCGCCCUGGUGGGGAACUUCCCGGAAACGAAAGUCUUCCGGUUCCGGGGGAAGUAUGGUUGCAAAGCUGAAACUUAAAGGAAUUGACGGAAGGGCACCACCAGGAGUGGAGCCUGCGGCUUAAUUUGACACAACACGGGAAAACUCACCCGGCCCGGACACCGUAAGGAUUGACAGAUUGAUAGCUCUUUCAUGAUUCGGUGGAUGGUGGUGCAUGGCCGUUCUUAGUUCGUGGAGCGAUUUGUCAGGUUUAUUCCGAUAACGAGCGAGACUCUGGCCUACUAAAUAGUUUACACAUUGCUUCUGUGUGCAUAACUUCUUAGAGGGAUUUUCGGUGUUCAGCCGCAAGAAAUUGAGCAAUAACAGGUCUGUGAUGCCCUUAGAUGUCCGGGGCUGCACGCGCGCUACACUGGCAAAAUCAGCGUGCUUGUCCUUCCCCGAAAGGGGUUGGUAAACUCGUGAAAAUUUGCCGUGAUUGGGAUCGGAAAUUGCAAUUAUUUUCCGUGAACGAGGAAUUCCAAGUAAGUGCGAGUCAUCAACUCGCGUUGAUUACGUCCCUGCCCUUUGUACACACCGCCCGUCGCUGCCCGGGACUGAGCCGUUUCGAGAAACUUGGAGACCGCUGAUCUGGUAACUUCGAUUGCCAUUUUGGUGGGAACCAAUUUAA
This 1170-nucleotide ribosomal RNA is filed under the name metagenome. Its description in RNAcentral is "SSU rRNA". It matches the Rfam family "Eukaryotic small subunit ribosomal RNA", at positions 558 to 1762 of the family's 1831-position model. The record is from RNAcentral.